UGGGGAAUAUUGCACAAUGUGCGCAAGCCUGAUGCAGCCAUGCCGCGUGUAUGAAGAAGGCCUUCGGGUUGUAAAGUACUUUCAGCGAGGAGGAAGGCGUUGUGGUUAAUAACCGCAACGAUUGACGUUACUCGCAGAAGAAGCACCGGCUAACUCCGUGCCAGCAGCCGCGGUAAUACGGAGGGUGCAAGCGUUAAUCGGAAUUACUGGGCGUAAAGCGCACGCAGGCGGUCUGUCAAGUCGGAUGUGAAAUCCCCGGGCUCAACCUGGGAACUGCAUCCGAAACUGGCAGGCUAGAGUCUUGUAGAGGGGGGUAGAAUUCCAGGUGUAGCGGUGAAAUGCGUAGAGAUCUGGAGGAAUACCGGUGGCGAAGGCGGCCCCCUGGACAAAGACUGACGCUCAGGUGCGAAAGCGUGGGGAGCAAACA
RNAcentral lists this ribosomal RNA (427 nucleotides) under uncultured bacterium. RNAcentral's name for it is "partial 16S ribosomal RNA". It matches the Rfam family "Bacterial small subunit ribosomal RNA", at positions 355 to 774 of the family's 1533-position model. The record is from RNAcentral.